UCUGAUCCACAUUCCAGUCUAGAAGGUGGCGGUAAUGCACUUCAAGCUGUUUGCUAACCGCCAUUAAAUAACAGAAGAAGAAGAAUCUGAUUGGACAGUGACAGUCCAAUCACAGAGCAGAGUCAAAUUGUCCAAUCAGGUGGUAGCUGGGUUCUUUAAAUUAAUUUCCGGAGGCAGUUCUGUAAAGUUGGCUGUGGUGGAGAUUGAAGAUGGAUAGGAGCGGGAGCUGUUCUGCUACUUAGGUGAGGCGAAAAUUGUAGGAAAUCACAGCCACAGAACGCAUGGACAAGAAUAUGGGACUCCUACAGCUUAAACAGCCUUGGGCGUGUUGCCAGGAGGACCGACAGUGUUCAGGGCCCCUGUUACUCCUACAUAUGGACGUCAAUGGUUUGUGCACGUUCCCCUGCCUUGAAGCCAUCAACCCUCAUGAAAGCCUGGUGGACAAGACAUUUCUCCACGUGGGGGCCCCUUUUUAAAGGGCACUGGACUCAUAGUUCUUCACUAGGGAGAGUGAAGAACUAGGAGACUUGAUCCAGUGCCUGCCAUCUCAGACAUUAAAAAUCAGAACAAGAACAUUUUACAGUUGCAAGAGCUUUAUUAAAGAAACAGCAGAGCCUGGAAAAAUCACUUUAAACACUGCUGAGGUUUCGGUUAAGAUGGGAAAUGCCUCCUGGUGGAGUCAUCUUCUCCAUACUGCAUGGAGAAGAUGUGAGGUACUCCAACUUUGGCAGCUGGAUGGAGAGCCUGCAAAAGAAGAGUUUUGUAAAGCUUCAAUUUAAAUAAUAAAUGGUCCAUUUAUAAACAAACCUGCCCAUCUCUGUGCAUGUCCUCAAGAAUGCUGCUGCCGAUGGUCUGGCCACAGUGACAUCCGGUUAAGGAUCACCUAAGGGGGAACUGAAAAAGCUAGUUAAGCAUGAUAUGCUCUACAAUUUCAAUCCAUUGUUUUGGUUUUGAUGGGUUUGCUUAAUCUUGAAGCAAAAGGCUUUUAGCAGGCACAUUUGUACCUGGGCAGUAAACAUACUUUUAUAUGCAGACUGCAAAGUUCCAAGUCAAUAUUUGGACAAAAUCAGGGGGAGAAAAAACUGAAAGAUGUCAUCUCACCACAUGU
Monopterus albus (swamp eel) is the source of this 1108-nucleotide long non-coding RNA. RefSeq lists it as uncharacterized. The transcript is spliced from 3 exons. The record is from RefSeq and is a predicted model, not a curated record. NCBI's taxonomy places the organism in Eukaryota, Metazoa, Chordata, Actinopteri, Synbranchiformes, Synbranchidae.